UCUCUGUGAUGAUACCAAUCAAGGCUUGUUUCUCUAAACAUUCGCAAUGGCUGCCUAAGAGCAUGCUAAUGUUGCUUUUUCCUUCCUUGGAUGUCUGAGACU
This 102-nucleotide small nucleolar RNA is filed under the name Phaseolus vulgaris (common bean). Its description in RNAcentral is "snoRNA SNORD14". It matches the Rfam family "Small nucleolar RNA SNORD14". From Rfam's summary of the family: U14 small nucleolar RNA (U14 snoRNA) is required for early cleavages of eukaryotic precursor rRNAs. In yeasts, this molecule possess a stem-loop region (known as the Y-domain) which is essential for function. A similar structure, but with a different consensus sequence, is found in plants, but is absent in vertebrates. The record is from RNAcentral. Lineage: Eukaryota; Viridiplantae; Streptophyta; Magnoliopsida; Fabales; Fabaceae.